GUCACAGUGGUGCAGUGGUUAGCACUCCUGUCUCACAGCAAGAAGGUUGUGGGUUUGAAUUCGGCCUGGGGCC
Molecule: non-coding RNA, 73 nt
Organism: Gymnothorax javanicus (giant moray)
Lineage: Eukaryota; Metazoa; Chordata; Actinopteri; Anguilliformes; Muraenidae
Source: the annotation of a GenBank genome assembly